GGUUAAGCGACUAAGCGUACACGGUGGAUGCCCUGGCAGUCAGAGGCGAUGAAGGACGUGCUAAUCUGCGAUAAGCGUCGGUAAGGUGAUAUGAACCGUUAUAACCGGCGAUUUCCGAAUGGGGAAACCCAGUGUGAUUCGUCACACUAUCAUUAACUGAAUCCAUAGGUUAAUGAGGCGAACCGGGGGAACUGAAACAUCUAAGUACCCCGAGGAAAAGAAAUCAACCGAGAUUCCCCCAGUAGCGGCGAGCGAACGGGGAGCAGCCCAGAGCCUGAAUCAGUGUGUGUGUUAGUGGAAGCGUCUGGAAAGGCGUGCGAUACAGGGUGACAGCCCCGUACACAAAAAUGCACAUGCUGUGAGCUCGAUGAGUAGGGCGGGACACGUGGUAUCCUGUCUGAAUAUGGGGGGACCAUCCUCCAAGGCUAAAUACUCCUGACUGACCGAUAGUGAACCAGUACCGUGAGGGAAAGGCGAAAAGAACCCCGGCGAGGGGAGUGAAAAAGAACCUGAAACCGUGUACGUACAAGCAGUGGGAGCACGCUUAGGCGUGUGACUGCGUACCUUUUGUAUAAUGGGUCAGCGACUUAUAUUCUGUAGCAAGGUUAACCGAAUAGGGGAGCCGAAGGGAAACCGAGUCUUAACUGGGCGUUAAGUUGCAGGGUAUAGACCCGAAACCCGGUGAUCUAGCCAUGGGCAGGUUGAAGGUUGGGUAACACUAACUGGAGGACCGAACCGACUAAUGUUGAAAAAUUAGCGGAUGACUUGUGGCUGGGGGUGAAAGGCCAAUCAAACCGGGAGAUAGCUGGUUCUCCCCGAAAGCUAUUUAGGUAGCGCCUCGUGAAUUCAUCUCCGGGGGUAGAGCACUGUUUCGGCAAGGGGGUCAUCCCGACUUACCAACCCGAUGCAAACUGCGAAUACCGGAGAAUGUUAUCACGGGAGACACACGGCGGGUGCUAACGUCCGUCGUGAAGAGGGAAACAACCCAGACCGCCAGCUAAGGUCCCAAAGUCAUGGUUAAGUGGGAAACGAUGUGGGAAGGCCCAGACAGCCAGGAUGUUGGCUUAGAAGCAGCCAUCAUUUAAAGAAAGCGUAAUAGCUCACUGGUCGAGUCGGCCUGCGCGGAAGAUGUAACGGGGCUAAACCAUGCACCGAAGCUGCGGCAGCGACGCUUAUGCGUUGUUGGGUAGGGGAGCGUUCUGUAAGCCUGCGAAGGUGUGCUGUGAGGCAUGCUGGAGGUAUCAGAAGUGCGAAUGCUGACAUAAGUAACGAUAAAGCGGGUGAAAAGCCCGCUCGCCGGAAGACCAAGGGUUCCUGUCCAACGUUAAUCGGGGCAGGGUGAGUCGACCCCUAAGGCGAGGCCGAAAGGCGUAGUCGAUGGGAAACAGGUUAAUAUUCCUGUACUUGGUGUUACUGCGAAGGGGGGACGGAGAAGGCUAUGUUGGCCGGGCGACGGUUGUCCCGGUUUAAGCGUGUAGGCUGGUUUUCCAGGCAAAUCCGGAAAAUCAAGGCUGAGGCGUGAUGACGAGGCACUACGGUGCUGAAGCAACAAAUGCCCUGCUUCCAGGAAAAGCCUCUAAGCAUCAGGUAACAUCAAAUCGUACCCCAAACCGACACAGGUGGUCAGGUAGAGAAUACCAAGGCGCUUGAGAGAACUCGGGUGAAGGAACUAGGCAAAAUGGUGCCGUAACUUCGGGAGAAGGCACGCUGAUAUGUAGGUGAAGUCCCUCGCGGAUGGAGCUGAAAUCAGUCGAAGAUACCAGCUGGCUGCAACUGUUUAUUAAAAACACAGCACUGUGCAAACACGAAAGUGGACGUAUACGGUGUGACGCCUGCCCGGUGCCGGAAGGUUAAUUGAUGGGGUUAGCGCAAGCGAAGCUCUUGAUCGAAGCCCCGGUAAACGGCGGCCGUAACUAUAACGGUCCUAAGGUAGCGAAAUUCCUUGUCGGGUAAGUUCCGACCUGCACGAAUGGCGUAAUGAUGGCCAGGCUGUCUCCACCCGAGACUCAGUGAAAUUGAACUCGCUGUGAAGAUGCAGUGUACCCGCGGCAAGACGGAAAGACCCCGUGAACCUUUACUAUAGCUUGACACUGAACAUUGAGCCUUGAUGUGUAGGAUAGGUGGGAGGCUUUGAAGUGUGGACGCCAGUCUGCAUGGAGCCGACCUUGAAAUACCACCCUUUAAUGUUUGAUGUUCUAACGUUGACCCGUAAUCCGGGUUGCGGACAGUGUCUGGUGGGUAGUUUGACUGGGGCGGUCUCCUCCUAAAGAGUAACGGAGGAGCACGAAGGUUGGCUAAUCCUGGUCGGACAUCAGGAGGUUAGUGCAAUGGCAUAAGCCAGCUUGACUGCGAGCGUGACGGCGCGAGCAGGUGCGAAAGCAGGUCAUAGUGAUCCGGUGGUUCUGAAUGGAAGGGCCAUCGCUCAACGGAUAAAAGGUACUCCGGGGAUAACAGGCUGAUACCGCCCAAGAGUUCAUAUCGACGGCGGUGUUUGGCACCUCGAUGUCGGCUCAUCACAUCCUGGGGCUGAAGUAGGUCCCAAGGGUAUGGCUGUUCGCCAUUUAAAGUGGUACGCGAGCUGGGUUUAGAACGUCGUGAGACAGUUCGGUCCCUAUCUGCCGUGGGCGCUGGAGAAUUGAGGGGGGCUGCUCCUAGUACGAGAGGACCGGAGUGGACGCAUCACUGGUGUUCGGGUUGUCAUGCCAAUGGCACUGCCCGGUAGCUAAAUGCGGAAGAGAUAAGUGCUGAAAGCAUCUAAGCACGAAACUUGCCCCGAGAUGAGUUCUCCCUGACUCCUUGAGAGUCCUGAAGGAACGUUGAAGACGACGACGUUGAUAGGCCGGGUGUGUAAGCGCAGCGAUGCGUUGAGCUAACCGGUACUAAUGAACCGUGAGGCUUAACCUU
RNAcentral lists this ribosomal RNA (2904 nucleotides) under Escherichia coli. Its description in RNAcentral is "23S ribosomal RNA". It matches the Rfam family "Bacterial large subunit ribosomal RNA". Lineage: Bacteria; Pseudomonadati; Pseudomonadota; Gammaproteobacteria; Enterobacterales; Enterobacteriaceae. The record is from RNAcentral.